GACGAACGCUGGCGGCGUGCUUAACACAUGCAAGUCGAACGAAGUGGCGAACGGGUGAGUAACGCGUAAUCAACCUGCCCUUCAGAGGGGGACAACAGUUGGAAAAGACUGCUAAUACCGCAUACUGAAGGAGGGGAUUGCGUCUGCUUAGCUAGUUGGAGGGGUAACGGCCCACCAAGGCGAGUAUCAUGAGCCGGUUUGGGAGGAGGAACGGCCACCUUGGGACUGAUGAACUGCCCAGACUCCUACGGGAGGCAGCCGGGGGGAAUCUUCCGCAAUGGACGAAAGUCUGACGGAGCAACGCCGCGUUAGUGAUGACUGCCUUCGGGUUGGAAAGCUCUGUUAAUCGGGACGCGGUACCGGAAUAGAAAGCCACGGCUAACUACGUGCCAGCAGCCGCGGUAAUAC
RNAcentral lists this ribosomal RNA (408 nucleotides) under uncultured bacterium. RNAcentral's name for it is "partial 16S ribosomal RNA". It matches the Rfam family "Bacterial small subunit ribosomal RNA", at positions 28 to 526 of the family's 1533-position model. The record is from RNAcentral.